Molecule: transfer RNA, 67 nt
Filed under: Marmota monax (woodchuck)
Lineage: Eukaryota; Metazoa; Chordata; Mammalia; Rodentia; Sciuridae
Description: tRNA.Ala
Source: RNAcentral
GGUUGUAGCUCAGUGGAAGAGUGCUUACCUAGCAUGUGUGAGGUACUGGGUUCUAUUCUCAGCACCG